UAACUGUAAUAACUCUAGAGCUAAUACAUGCCACGAUGCCCUGACCUGUGUCCUGCACAGGGAUGGGUGCACUUAUUAGAUCAGAAACCAACCGAGCCCUGUUCGCAGGGCUUGUUGUCGUUCUGGUGACUCUGGAUAAUUGUUACAGAUCGCAGUCGGCCUUGCGUCGGCGACGGGUCCUUCAAAUGUCUGCCCUAUCAACUUUCGAUGGUAGGUGAUCUGCCUACCAUGGUGAUAACGGGUAACGGGGAAUCAGGGUUCGAUUCCGGAGAGGGAGCCUGAGAAACGGCUACCACUUCCAAGGGAGGCAGCAGGCGCGCAAAUUACCCACUCCCGGUACGGGGAGGUGGUGACGAAAAAUACCGAUGCGGGACUCUUCAAGAGGCUCCGUAAUCGGAAUGAGUGAACUCUAAAUCCUUUCACGAGGAUCAAUUGGAGGGCAAGUCUGGUGCCAGCAGCCGCGGUAACUCCAGCUCCAAUAGCGUAUAUUAAAGUUGCUGCAGUUAAAAAGCUCGUAGUUGGAUCUCGGUAUCACUGUUGCCUGCCAUUGCUUGGCCAGCUGGGUGCCGGGUGAUGCGGCUGAGUGCCGUGUUGCCUUGGUGUUCGACUGUUGUCGAGUUGGUUUGGUAGCGGUGCCACCUUUUAGCCAUGUCUGUGGUGAAAUACCCACAGGUGUAGGCAAGUGUCAGGCGGUGCUCUGCAGCUGUAGGGUCCGUCGGCUCGUCUGCAUGCCUUUGGAUGCCCUUUAAAAGGUGUCUGUGGGCGGAUGGCACGUUUACUUUGAACAAAUUUGAGUGCUCAAACCAAGCCGUUGUAGCCUGAAAAGUUUUGCAUGGAAUAAUGGAAUAGGACUUCGGUUCUAUUUUGUUGGUUUUCGGAUCCGAAGUAAUGAUCAAAAGAGACAGGCGGGGACGUUUGUAUGGUUGCGCUAGAGGUGAAAUUCAUGGACCGUAACCAGACAGACUAAAGCGAAAGCAUUCGUCAAGCAUGUUUUCAUUGGCCAUGA
RNAcentral lists this ribosomal RNA (1006 nucleotides) under Khawia sinensis. Its description in RNAcentral is "SSU rRNA". It matches the Rfam family "Eukaryotic small subunit ribosomal RNA", at positions 144 to 982 of the family's 1831-position model. Lineage: Eukaryota; Metazoa; Platyhelminthes; Cestoda; Caryophyllidea; Lytocestidae. The record is from RNAcentral.